AUUGAACGCUGGCGGCAGGCCUAACACAUGCAAAUCGAGCGGACGAAGGGAGCUUGCUCCUGGAUUCUGUGGCGGACGGGCGAGUAAUUACUAGGAAGCUACCUGGCCGUGGGGGAUAACGUCCGGACAGGGGAGCUAAUACCGUAUAGGUUCAGAGGUUGAAAGUGGUGGUUCUUCGGACCUAAAGGGACCUGCUGAGACUAGGUCGGAUUAGCUAGUUGGUGGGGUAAGGGCCUACCAAGGCGACGAUCCGUAACAGGUCUGAGAGGAUGAUCAGCGACACUGGAACUGAGACACGGUUCAGACUCCUACGGGAGGCAGCAGUAGGGAAUAUUCCACAAUGGGCGAAAGCCUGAUCCAGCAAUGCCGCGUGUGUGAAGAAGGUCUUCGGAUUGUAAAACACUUUAAGUUGGGAGGAAGAUCAGUAAGUUAAAACCUGGCUGUUUUGACGUUACCAACAGAAAAAGCACCGGCUAACUUCGUG
This 484-nucleotide ribosomal RNA is filed under the name uncultured bacterium. RNAcentral describes it as "partial 16S ribosomal RNA". It matches the Rfam family "Bacterial small subunit ribosomal RNA", at positions 30 to 507 of the family's 1533-position model. The record is from RNAcentral.